AACCGCCCUUCUCGUGCAGACGGUGGGUGGGCGCUACCCGCCGGGCCCCUGAGCUGAGGGGCGUGGCCGGCGGGGUGAGGCGUCCCCCGGGUCGGGGGUCGGGCCUAGGGGCAUCCCCCGAAAGGCGGAAGCGGGGCGAGGCUAUCACAAAGCUUGCGGCCGGGUCUCAAGCUAUUGGGGAGGGGGCUGACGGGAUGGCCUGAGGAAAAGGUGCGAAUAAGAAAAAGGCACUCUUCUGGGCCGACGAAUGAGAGAAGAAAAUGGCGCCUUCCCUGGACGGGUGGGUCCGAGUGGAGGGGAGGACGCGGAGGGGCACCCGGUGGGCAAAGCGAGGGCGCCGAGGCCACCCCUGGUCUGUAGGACCGAGGUUGUGAGGGGAAGGAACCGACGCGAGGCCACCCCUGGUCUGUAGGACCGAGGUUGUGAGGGGAAGGAACCGACGCGACCACCCUCCGGUCCUGGAAUGAGCUCGAAUGAGUUCUGGAGUUGAGAAGCCCAAGAUCAAGCAAGGUUCAGCAGAGUUGGUUUUGUGUAAGGGGCCCGAAGAAGGAUCUGUUCCCGGCCUCACUCGUUGACUUGUAAGAGAAACCAAGAUGGCGGCAUAGGUAAACACUGGAGAUUGCUGCCUCG
Molecule: long non-coding RNA, 630 nt
Organism: Myotis myotis
Lineage: Eukaryota; Metazoa; Chordata; Mammalia; Chiroptera; Vespertilionidae
Exons: 4
Source: RefSeq, a predicted model, not a curated record